AACGUAGGAGACAAACGUUAUCCGGAGUUACUGGGCGUAAAGGGCGUGUAGGCGGUUUGUUAAGUCUGGCGUGAAAGCUCUCGGCUAAACCGGGAGAGGUCGUUGGAGACUGGCAGACUGGAGGAUGGUAGAGGCGUGUGGAAUUCCGGGUGUAGUGGUGAAAUGCGUAGAGAUCCGGAGGAACACCAGUGGCGAAGGCGACACGCUGGGCCAUACCUGACGCUAAAGCGCGACAGCAUGGGGAGCAAACGGGAUUAGAAACCCCAGUAGUCC
Molecule: ribosomal RNA, 273 nt
Filed under: uncultured bacterium
Lineage: Bacteria
Description: partial 16S ribosomal RNA
Rfam family: Bacterial small subunit ribosomal RNA
Source: RNAcentral